AGAGUUUGAUCCUGGCUCAGGAUGAACGCUGGCGGCGUGCUUAACACAUGCAAGUCGAACGAAGCACCUGGAUUUGACUCUUCGGAUGAAGAUCCUUGUGACUGAGUGGCGGACGGGUGAGUAACGCGUGGGUAACCUGCCUCAUACAGGGGGAUAACAGUUAGAAAUGACUGCUAAUACCGCAUAAGACCACAGGGUCGCAUGACCUGGUGGGAAAAACUCCGGUGGUAUGAGAUGGACCCGCGUCUGAUUAGGUAGUUGGUGGGGUAACGGCCUACCAAGCCGACGAUCAGUAGCCGACCUGAGAGGGUGACCGGCCACAUUGGGACUGAGACACGGCCCAAACUCCUACGGGAGGCAGCAGUGGGGAAUAUUGCACAAUGGGGGAAACCCUGAUGCAGCGACGCCGCGUGAGCGAAGAAGUAUUUCGGUAUGUAAAGCUCUAUCAGCAGGGAAGAAAAUGACGGUACCUGACUAAGAAGCACCGGCUAAAUACGUGCCAGCAGCCGCGGUAAUACGUAUGGUGCAAGCGUUAUCCGGAUUUACUGGGUGUAAAGGGAGCGUAGACGGCUGUGUAAGUCUGAAGUGAAAGCCCGGGGCUCAACCCCGGGACUGCUUUGGAAACUAUGCAGCUAGAGUGUCGGAGAGGUAAGUGGAAUCCCCAGUGUAGCGGUGAAAUGCGUAGAUAUUGGGAGGAACACCAGUGGCGAAGGCGGCUUACUGGACGAUGACUGACGUUGAGGCUCGAAAGCGUGGGGAGCAAACAGGAUUAGAUACCGUGGUAGUCCACGCCUAAAACGAUGACUACUAGGUGUCGGGGAGCAAAGCUCUUCGGUGCCGCAGCAAACGCAAUAAGUAGUCCACCUGGGGAGUACGUUCGCAAGAAUGAAACUCAAAGGAAUUGACGGGGACCCGCACAAGCGGUGGAGCAUGUGGUUUAAUUGGAAGCAACGCGAAGAACCUUACCUGCUCUUGACAUCCCGGUGACCGGCAUGUAAUGAUGCCUUUUCUUCGGAACACCGGUGACAGGUGGUGCAUGGUUGCCGUCAGCUCGUGUCGUGAGAUGUUGGGUUAAGUCCCGCAACGAGCGCAACCCUUAUCUUCAGUAGCCAGCAUUUGAGGUGGGCACUCUGGAGAGACUGCCAGGGAUAACCUGGAGGAAGGUGGGGAUGACGUCAAAUCAUCAUGCCCCUUAUGAGCAGGGCUACACACGUGCUACAAUGGCGUAAACAAAGGGAAGCGAACCUGUGAGGGUAAGCAAAUCUCAAAAAUAACGUCUCAGUUCGGAUUGUAGUCUGCAACUCGACUACAUGAAGCUGGAAUCGCUAGUAAUCGCGAAUCAGCAUGUCGCG
Molecule: ribosomal RNA, 1352 nt
Filed under: uncultured bacterium
Lineage: Bacteria
Description: 16S ribosomal RNA
Rfam family: Bacterial small subunit ribosomal RNA
Source: RNAcentral